GAGUGAAGCGGCAACAGCUCAAAUUUGAAAUCUGGCUCUUUUAGAGUCCGAGUUGUAAUUUGCAGAGGGCGCUUUGGCUUUGGCAGCGGUCCAAGUUCCUUGGAACAGGACGUCACAGAGGGUGAGAAUCCCGUACGUGGUCGCUGGCUAUUGCCGUGUAAAGCCCCUUCGACGAGUCGAGUUGUUUGGGAAUGCAGCUCUAAAUGGGAGGUACAUUUCUUCUAAAGCUAAAUAUUGGCCAGAGACCGAUAGCGCACAAGUAGAGUGAUCGAAAGAUGAAAAGCACUUUGGAAAGAGAGUCAAACAGCACGUGAAAUUGUUGAAAGGGAAGCGCUUGCAGCCAGACUUGCUUACAGUUGCUCAUCCGGGUUUUUACCCGGUGCACUCUUCUGUAGGCAGGCCAGCAUCAGUUUGGGCGGUAGGAUAAAGGUCUCUGUCACGUACCUCCUUUCGGGGAGGCCUUAUAGGGGAGACGACAUACUACCAGCCUGGACUGAGGUCCGCGCAUCUGCUAGGAUGCUGGCGUAAUGGCUGUAAGCGGCCCGUCUUGAAACACGGACCAAGGAGUCUAACAUCUAUGCGAGUGUUUGGGUGUCAAGCCCGAGCGCGUAAUGAAAAGUGAACGGAGGUGGGAACCCGCAAGGGUGCACCAUCGACCGAUCCUGAUGUCUUCGGAAGGAUUUGAGU
RNAcentral lists this ribosomal RNA (687 nucleotides) under Alternaria sp. RNAcentral describes it as "partial large subunit ribosomal RNA". It matches the Rfam family "Eukaryotic large subunit ribosomal RNA", at positions 91 to 795 of the family's 3401-position model. Lineage: Eukaryota; Fungi; Ascomycota; Dothideomycetes; Pleosporales; Pleosporaceae. The record is from RNAcentral.